CGGGCGCCGGCUGCCCGCGCCGCGAGCGGCCGAGCUGUCAGUGGGAGGAUCAGCCCAGUUGAGCUGAGCCGAGAGGAGCCAAGACCACCGUCCUCGUCUCCCGGAGCCGGAGCCGCUCAGCCUCCACGCCGAGUCCACCCAGCGCCGUGAUGCUGCUGCUCGCCCUGAGGCGGGCGCGGGGCAGGGGCCGGGGGCGACCGGCCUGGGGUCCCCGCCGCGCGCGCUCGCCGCCCUGGAGCCCCGCCUGGAUUUGCUGCUGGGCGCUCGCUGGCUGCCAGGCAGUCUGGGCUGGGGACUCGUCCUCUUUGGGCCGCCCGCUUCCUGCGUGCCAGGAGAAAGAUUACCACUUUGAAUAUACAGAAUGUGAUAGCACUGGCUCCAGGUGGAGGGUCGCCAUUCCGAAUUCUGCAGUGGAUUGCUCUGGCCUGCCUGACCCAGUGAGAGGCAAAGAAUGCACUUUCUCCUGUGCUUCUGGAGAGUAUCUAGAAAUGAAGAACCAGGUAUGCAGUAAGUGUGUCGAAGGCACUUACUCCCUGGGCAGUGGCAUCAAAUUUGAUGAAUGGGAUGAGUUGCCGGCAGGAUUUUCCAACGUUGCAACAUUCAUGGACACUGUGGUGGGCCCUUCUGACAGCAGGCCAGAUGGCUGUAACAACUCUUCUUGGCUUCCUCGUGGGAACUAUAUAGAGUCUAACCGUGAUGACUGCACUGUGUCUCUGAUCUACGCUGUACACCUUAAGAAAUCAGGCUACGUCUUCUUUGAGUACCAGUAUGUGGACAACAACAUCUUCUUUGAGUUCUUUAUUCAGAAUGACCAGUGCCAGGAGAUGGAUGCCACCACAGACAAGUGGGUGAAGCUCACAGACAACGGAGAAUGGGGCUCCCACUCCGUAAUGCUGAAAUCAGGCACAAAUAUUCUGUACUGGAGGACGACAGGCAUCCUUAUGGGUUCUAAGGCAGUCAAGCCUGUGCUAGUAAAAAAUAUCACCAUUGAAGGAGUGGCGUAUACCUCGGAGUGCUUUCCAUGUAAGCCAGGCACUUUCAGCAACAAACCAGGCUCAUUUAACUGCCAAAUGUGCCCCAGGAACACCUAUUCUGAGAAGGGUGCUAAAGAAUGCAUCAGGUGUAAGGAGGACUCCCAAUUUUCAGAGGAAGGAGCCAGUGAGUGUGUGGAUCGUCCACCCUGCACUACCAAAGACUAUUUCCAGAUCCAUACUCCCUGUGAUGAAGAAGGGAAGACACAGAUAAUGUACAAGUGGAUAGAGCCGAAAAUCUGCAGGGAAGAUCUCACAGAUGCUAUUAGGCUGCCCCCUUCUGGAGAGAAGAAGGAUUGUCCCCCUUGCAACCCAGGAUUCUAUAACAAUGGCUCUUCUUCUUGCCAUCCCUGCCCUCCCGGGACGUUUUCGGAUGGCACAAAGGAAUGCAAGUCGUGUCCGGCCGGAACAGAGCCAGCACUUGGGUUUGAAUAUAAAUGGUGGAAUGUCCUUCCCACCAACAUGAAAACUUCCUGCUUCAAUGUUGGGAAUUCCAAGUGCGAUGGGAUGAAUGGUUGGGAGGUGGCUGGAGAUCACAUCCGGAGUGGAGCUGGAGGCUCGGACAACGACUAUCUCAUCUUAAACUUGCAUAUCCCGGGAUUUAAACCGCCAACAUCUAUGACUGGAGCCACAGGUUCUGAACUAGGAAGGAUAACGUUUGUAUUUGAGACUCUCUGCUCAGCUGACUGUGUUCUGUACUUCAUGGUGGAUAUAAAUAGAAAAAGUACCAAUGUGGUGGAGUCAUGGGGAGGAACCAAAGAAAAGCAAGCUUAUACGCAUGUCAUAUUCAAGAAUGCAACGUUUACAUUUACAUGGGCAUUCCAGAGAACCAAUCAAGGUCAAGACAACAGACGUCUCAUCAAUGAUGUGGUGAAGAUUUAUUCAAUCUCAGCCACGAAUGCAGUUGAUGGGGUAGCAGCAUCAUGUCGGGCCUGUGCCCUGGGUUCUGAGCAGUCGGGAUCAUCAUGUGUGCCCUGCCCCCCAGGCCACUACAUCGAGAAAGAAACCAAUCAGUGCAAGGAGUGUCCAGCUGACACCUACCUGUCCAUCCACCAGGUCUAUGGCAAGGAGGCUUGCAUUCCAUGUGGGCCUGGGAGUAAAAGCACCCAGGAUCACUCGCUUUGCUACAGUGACUGCUUUUUCUACCAUGAAAAAGAAAACCAGAGUCUGCACUAUGACUUCCGCAACCUCAGCAGUGUGGGCUCUCUAAUGAAUGGCCCCAGCUUCACCUCCAAGGGAACCAAAUACUUCCAUUUCUUCAAUAUCAGUUUAUGCGGGCAUGAGGGGAGAAAGAUGGCUCUCUGCACCAACAAUAUUUCAGAUUUUACAGUAAAGGAGAUGGUGACAGGGUCAGAUGAUUUGAAUUUGGUUGGAGCAUUUGUGUGCCAGUCAACUAUUAUUCCUUCAGAAAGUAAGGGCUUCCGGGCAGCCCUGUCAUCCCAGUCGAUCAUUCUGGCAGAUACAUUUUUAGGAGUCACAGUGGAAGCUUCCUUGCAAAACGUUAAUAUCAAGGAGGAUAUGUUCCCAGUGUCACCCAGCCAAGUUCCAGAUGUGCAUUUCUUCUAUAAGUCUUCCACAGCCACCACGUCUUGUAUUAAUGGCCGAUCGACUGCUGUGAAAAUGCGAUGUAAUCCCAUGAGACCUGGUGCAGGUGUGAUAUCGGUCCCCAGCAAGUGUCCAGCUGGCACCUGCGAUGGUUGUACAUUCUACUUCCUAUGGGAGAGUGCGGAAGCUUGCCCUCUAUGCACAGAGCAUGACUUCCAUGAGAUCGAGGGAGCCUGCAAGAGAGGGCUUCAGGAAAUCUUAUAUGUAUGGAAUGAGCCUAAGUGGUGCAUUAAAGGAAUUGCUUUGCCCGAGAAGAAAUUGUCAACGUGUGAAACAGUUGACUUUUGGCUGAAAGUGGGAGCUGGUGUUGGGGCAUUCACAGCUGUUUUGUUGGUGGCUUUAACGUGCUACUUUUGGAAAAAGAAUCAAAAGCUGGAAUACAAAUAUUCUAAAUUAGUAAUGACGACUAACUCCAAAGAGUGUGAACUCCCAGCUGCAGACAGCUGUGCUAUCAUGGAAGGAGAAGAUAAUGAAGAGGAUGUUGUAUAUUCCAACAAGCAGUCACUACUAGGGAAGCUUAAGUCUUUGGCCACAAAGGUCCAGAAAGAUUAGUGACCUGGGGUACUACAUCCAGCACAGGCAUGUUGAAAACUUCACUGCUAGGCUCCUUAAGAGACUCCAUUGGAAAAAGACGACCACUUUGAAUCUGUUCAGCUGAAAUCCUCAAGAUGCCCCAAUAUAUGAAGAGACAAUGCUGUAGCAUUCAGGACCCCCAUUAGGACUUGUCCUCACACCUGACAUGGCUGUGAUCUCACCGAGGUGGUGUGCCAGCGAGAGGAGUAGGCAAAACUGCUGAUUGCCUUAUAACACGUCACAUACUUUGUCAAACUACAGAAGACAGAUGAUGUGGGUCUCACUGAAGAUGAAGCUUAACUCAGGAAGCGAUUUAGCUGUAUAUACUCAUGACUGAAAUCCAAGUUUUAGCCCACCAAUGCACUGCUGAUGCAUGCCAUACUAUUACUGGGUAACUUUAAUUCUUUAUACCGUCUACAUACAAAAUAUGUGUUGGAAGGCAGACAUAAGCAUACGCCUUGUGUUUCCACAUAUGUCUUGUUCUUGUACUUUGGGGAAGAUUUGGGGGAAAAAUUAAGUUAUAAUUAUUUUUGCCUUUAUUUCUCCAAGACUUGAAAACAUCUUUUUUUUAAAAUUGAAAUGAUGAGCAAAAUGAAAGACAAUAAAUUUUCAUAGGGUAUUUUCUCUUGACUUCAGAAAGACUAGGAUAUUAGUAAUAUUUUGUGAAGUUACUUACUUGGGUUAUCUAAGGUGGUAAUCACUUUUAAAAACUUCUUUCCUUGUUGGAACUAGUAUGAAAAAAUUUAAGUAAUUGCUUGAAGUCAUCUCAUGGGAUGGGGUGGGAGGCAAUAAAAGCCAAGAAGAAAGCUCAAUAUUCCAUUCAUUCAAACAAACUGGCUUUAUCAGGAGUCAGAGGCUUAAAGCACUUGAGUGUCAAUAUAGACUAAAGCUUGGGUAGUACCCUAUUUUGCAGACCCCUGCACAGUCAUAAGAAAGGAGAGGGAGUGCUUGACCCUAAGCACAGAAAGCUCUACUUGUCCGGGUAACCGAAGGUCAUACCAAGUGUCAGCUGGGCUUUCCCUCGACAUCAGGCACCACCCAGAGUGCUAGAGGUGUCUAUUUUUCCCUUGCUAGAAGACUUUGAGGAUUAUAAAUAUCUUGAAGAUUUUAUUUUUAAGCCAAUAAGGGAGAAAUUCAAUUUUUGAAGUGCGGAUACCUGUAUUCACAGUCAGAUCCUUCUGAGCAAUGUGUCGUUCCUGUUCGAAAGCAACCCAGAAACUUGUGACAUUUCUCACAGUGGAUUAUGAGUAUCAUUGUGACUUGGAUAUUACUUUUGAAGGAAGUUUGGUGAUGAAUUUGAUCAAGUUUGUGUAAACUUUUUAGACCUGGGAAUUAGAGUGUCUUACCCAUUCCUGAUAUAAGAUGUUUUGGUUUGUUUCUAAUAAACCAAUAAUCUUUACAGACCUUAACCACAUACUUAAAAAGAUUUUUGAUGGGCUGCAGCGGGCAAAGCAUACGGGUAAGGUUUCCACCAUGUGUUUUGCCUGAGGUGUUUCAGUGCUUGUAAUGUUUGAUUUUUGUGGGUGAUGUAGUCUUUAUUUUUGUGAAAAAUGGGAGAAAAUGAAUAAAUGAAUAAUUGUGCUUAUUGGCCAGUGGGUAAACCACUAGACCUUUUUGCUACCACUAAAAGAAUGGUUGUAUGUGUGUGUUUUGUGUGUGUGUGUGUGUGUGUGUGUGUGUGUGUGUGUGUGUAUGUACAUGUGUAUAUGUAUGUGUGUAUGUAUGUAUCUACUACUAAAUAUGAAAAUAGGUGAUGUAUUAUUGUUUGUCGUAAGACUGAAAAGAAUGUUACUUAGCAUAAUUUUGUAUUUAAUUUCUUGAAUAUCCUAAAUUAUUUUAGCUUUGCUCAUUUUUGUCUCAAUAUCAGAAUAUUGGCAUGCCUUUCCCUAUCAUAAUCAAAAUUUAACCAGAAGAGUGGGAAUACACUUGAACUACCACUUAGAGGAACAGGUGGAAACGUAGACUGGACAGAGUCAGAAAGCAUCUUCUGUCACCUGUCACCCCUCUUCACCCUCUGCUGUGCUCAACAUGUAUGUUCCAAGCCAUAGAAAUAAUUGGGAUUUGUUCCCAGGUUCUUCUUCUUUCUCUUGUCACUGGACUAAAAUCUCUGACAUGUCAAAAAUGCCUUAAAUUUUAAUGAACUCUCUGAAAAUGCAGUAGAUAUUGAAGAAGUUAUUUUAUUUCUAAUUUUAGAUAUUAAAUAGAUUUUUUUUUGUCAGCUCGGUCCCAUCUUUGGAUUCCCAUGGCUCGUCAUUUUAUUCUAAGAGCUGAAGAACUAUGACAGAACAUUAUGAGGAGAAUAUGCAGAACAAUUCUAGCUGUAAAAUUCUGUUUAGUUUUAUGUAUGGCCUUUGACAAGCCCAGUGAAAUGUUGAAAGCUAUAAUCAAAUCAUUCCGCUUUUAUGAUUUAUUGACAUGUCCUCUCCCCAUCACUACUAGUGAUAGAAAAAUACAUUAUUUAUUACUUUUCUUCUAAAAGGCAUACUUUUGAGCCUUAAAUAGUUCAUUAAGUCAUCUGUUGUGUAUAACAUCUCUUAGCACUGUGUCAAAACAUAUUUAAGUCAAUUUUCUACUGGAUGAGAACAUGUCGUCUAUGGAUAAGUUAUAUUAUGCUAUUUGCCAAUGUCAAGCAAUUUGGUAUAUAGUCACUUGAUUUAAAAUACUGAAUUUUAUUAUUAUUGACCUUUCCCGUCUUUGGUUACUAAUAAUCAUAUCCUUCUUAGGAUUAAACAUAUUUCAUUGUACUUUUGUGUAGACUUCUGUCAUUAUUUUUCUCCCCUAAAAUGAUGGUUUAAGUUAGUGUGCUGGAAGAAUUACUUGAGACCAGUUAUUCAUUAUCUGGGUUCUCAGGUGCUGAGUAACAGCUGGUUUGCUUUAUGUUUCUUCUGGCCAAGAGUUGUUUGAUGCCAUAGGUAACAGUGUUUCCCAUGGUUCACGGUCAUCCCUAAUGGCCAAUGUUCCUAUUUUCCUCAUAAAACCUAGUUGCUUGGUUAGUGUAAAAUGUGCUGCUAAUAUUUGUAUUCUCAUAUUGAUAUGUUAGAUACCUUCUGAGGGCGAGAUGCUGAUGUACAAAGUAGUAUAGAUAAAGAUGGGGUACUAGAGAGGCUUCCCCGCUUACUUAUAGCAUCUGUUCACGUAGGGUGACCUCAGCGCUCACCCAUUUACCAGGUCCAGUUUCAAUAUGAAACUGCAAGUGGCAUUUAGCUUUCCUUUAACGAUUGCUGGCUCACCAAAACCUCCAGUUUCUUUGAAUGAAAUGUCCAUUAAGACCUUAGUUAGCUGGAUUUUUCUUCAUUGUAUUAACUCCCGGAGAGAGGCUUCUAUUUAAAAUACCUUAGGAGUUUUGGCAAACGAUUGAGCAAUCUUUCCUCUAUGUCAGAUAGCUGAUUUAAAUCCUAUUGGCUGCUUUCUAAAUAAAAAGGGGAACCCAAUAAGAAUUAUGUAAAGCCAAGCCUGCUACUGCAGAAAAGGAGGGUUAAUGGUGUCACCCACGGGUGGGUAGUUCACACCUCUCUUCCUGGCCUUUCACAUUUUCUCACACAGACAGGCUACUGGAUUCAAAAUGCUCACAAUGAGGAAGUGGAUGAUGCAGGUCCUAGCUGAGAGAACAUGUGCACCCAAAGCCUGUAAAGACAGAGAUUACCUUUCUCAGUCAUUCUUUACAUCUGUCCUCGGUGUUGUCCAGAAGCCGGCUUGCCUCGCACUGUAAAAAUAGUAACAGUUUUCCUUCACCAAGCUAAACUUGGGUGGGCGGAAAAAUCUAUUAAUAUUUAAGCGUGAGAAGACAUAGAGUACAGUAACUAUUCAGAAACACAAGGCAAGCAGUUAGCUUGCUUCUAAAAGUUCCUUUUAUGAAUAGGAUCUAUCAUUUUAGCAUGGGAAUUCUUAAAUUUAGGGACAUUUUGCAGAGAUGAAUCAAUCUGCAUUACCUUCUGGCAGGAUGAAAUGUUGUUACUAAUGUGGGGGAAACAAGGCUUCCAAAACUAUUUUUUAAUGGCUUAUAUAAAAGUGAUUUUUUAAUCACAUCUAUUUUCCAUACAUAUGUUGAAUGUUCAUAAAAAUUAUUUCUAGGGAUCAUAUGGUAGAUGAAAUUUCUAAUUAAAAAACGAAGUCUAUAUCAAGGGUAGAGAAGAAUGACAAGAGCUGCCUGUUACUGCAUUUUUAGUAUACUGACAGGAUAUAAAACACAGCGAGUAUAAAAACCCAGCCCUCCAAACUACAGUUUUCUCAUGGUUUAGACACGAGCUGAUUGUCUUGCUUUAAGAUCCAUGAUCAGCUUGACUGUGAGAGGCGUCAGCUGCACCUCUGAACAGCCUAUCUGAUAUUGCUGUCCUCGGACUGUCCCAUUCCAUCAGGGAACGGAGUUUGUUUUCUCUCUCAUCAGCUUGCUGAGCCACUGUCCCAAGCAGAUGCUCAUCCAGAGCCUGCUUCUCAGGCACCCUUGCCAAUCGCAGUCAGAGUGGAAUUUCUUGUGCUAUUUAGCGCCUUUGAAUUCGUUACUCAACCUACACUAGCUCACUCCCCAGAUUUCAGAUUCUUACUUGAGUAUGAGAAUUCAAGGAGUGCUCCGGACCACAGUUUUCUUCCUCUGGUUGGCGAGAGCUGGAUUUCUUAGGUUGCACAUUCAAAUGCAGACAGAAGAAUUUAGCUUCCCAUUUCCUUCAAGGCCAAUCUCCUUGGCCUUUGAGCCCCUGUUCAUUCUUUUUAGAUUACUAAAAAUAGUAUUAUUAUGGCUUACUCAUUUCAAAUACUCUCAUACAUUUAAUUCUAUACUUCAUUCCUUUCUCAGUCGUUCUUGACUGCUUUUCAAACUAUUUUCUCGUGCAUGCAAAGCAAACACCAAUUGACUUAUCACCACAUCGAUAGUUUGUGCUUUUCAAACGCAGGAACUAGAUGGACUAUACCUCAUUUGUCCUUCUAUUGUGGGCUAAAUAGCGGCCUCUCAAAAAUAUGUCACAUCCUAGUUCCUGAACCCUGAGAACACUCUUUUAUUUUAAAAUCAAAUCAAAUCAAAACAAACACCAAAAUGAACAAAAGAAAACAGCAACAACAAAAAAACUUCAAACAAAUGACCUAUUAAAAAUGUCAAGAUAUAAGCAUCCUGGGUUAUCUAGGUCAUUCUAAAUCUAAUGACACAUGGCAUUUCAAGAGACAAAAGACAAGACAGACACAGUGGUGAAUAUGAUAUGAAGACUGGACAGAGUUUGAAAUGAUGUGGCCAUAGGCCAAGGAGCUGUGUAACUACCAGGUGCUAGAAAAAAGAUGGGGUGGGUGAUUUCUUUGAAUCUAUAAGGCAGCCUGGUCCUUCUGACUCCUUCAUUGUGAAAGAAUAAAUUUUUGUUGUUUUAAGCCACAUACAUUAUAACAUUUCCCCCCCCCCCCCAUAAUCACAGGAAACAAAGGUACUUCCUGCCCUGUAUGUGACAUAGGUUUUACAGAUAGAUGUGUUGGUCAAUAUUUAACCCAACAUUGAUAAAUUAUUUGUAACCAAAAGUUUGAUAGAAGCAGGACAAUAUUUAGUAAGAUUAAUGAAGUUUUGUCUUACUCAUACCAUUCAUGACUUGUUUUGGGUUAAUAAAAUAUUUAAAUGUAAUGACA
Molecule: non-coding RNA, 8807 nt
Organism: Rattus norvegicus (Norway rat)
Lineage: Eukaryota; Metazoa; Chordata; Mammalia; Rodentia; Muridae
Source: RefSeq, a predicted model, not a curated record